RNAcentral lists this long non-coding RNA (694 nucleotides) under Homo sapiens (human). RNAcentral's name for it is "T cell receptor gamma locus antisense RNA 1". Lineage: Eukaryota; Metazoa; Chordata; Mammalia; Primates; Hominidae. The record is from RNAcentral.
AGAGGAGUUUCUGCCUCUCUGCUCAGGCCAGUUCUCCAGCGCCCUCUGUGGCGGCUGAGAGCAGGCCCUCUAAGGAAGAGAGCUCCGGGCAUAGAGAGCUCAGGCCUGCAGCAGAGGGAGUGCAGAUGUGGGGGAAGCUGACCCUGGAGUUAACAGGCUCAGACCUUAAAGGGGGUAGUCUCACAGCAGGUUCACACCCAGCACUUCAGAGUUUCAGCAAGUAAGGCAACUGCAAGACCCUCAUUCUGCCGGGAAGCUUCUGAUUAGGGCCCUAAACCACCAUCCUUUUCACAUCUGCAAGGACACUAGAGGCAACACCCAGGGUCACUCUGAGAGGGCCUGAACCUGCUUUAUUAACAGGAUCGAGGGUCAGGACCGAAGUAAGUCGUGAUGCAGGAAAUGAGUGCGUUUCACAGCUUGCUGAGCCCCUACUCGACCCAGGAAGCCCAGCUGGCCCCUCCUCUCAACAGGAGUGAGAAUCAGACUCAUGGAGGCAACCACUCAAGGUCACUCUGAGAAGGGUUGAACGUGCUUUAUUAAAAGGACUGAGGAUCAUGUGUGUUGGUGUGUCCCGGAGUCUGCUCUAAGGUAAAUAUGUGUGUGUGUGUGUUGGGGGGGCAGGGGUUGUGCCUGUAAUCCUGUGUGUGUGACCUCCUUAUUAGAGGAUUUUUGUUCAUUAAAGUAGGAGUGUGAA